GGAAGAAGUCCGCGAGCUCAACAGUUUUCCUGCUCUCCCAUAAAGAAACAUGAGGCCCUGUUCUCAACUCGGAUAGACGCCAGCACAGAGAAGUCCUUGGGAAAGCAAGGAAGACUAUCCACCUCGGGUUCAGCACGCAGAUGCACCUUCCCUGCUGCAUGCAAGAAGUAUAACGUAUUUGUUCGUUACAGGAGAGCUCGUAGCUCUUGUCCCUGAGUCAGGCUACUCACUGCACUCGGUCUCCAUUCAGAAGUCGCCUCCAAGGACCAGCGAUGACAUUUUGGGGUGGAUGCGCUGUGCCUCCCAUACUCCUACGGGGGUCUGCCCACCUUUCCUUUGGGUCCCCUGGUUCACGCCAGGUUCAACAUGAAAUGAAACCUUCUCUCCUCAUUCCUCCUCAGGACAGUAUGUGACAAGAGCCCAAGACAGCAGAGGAAAUGAGGAACUGUCAAACUGGUUAUUUGAAUCAAUUUUCGUUACUGAGGGGGAGGACUUACUUGAUGGGAUGGAAGAACACUUUGAGGAAUUGGGUUUAUUAACUAGGAAGUUAGGCUAAAAUUGCUGAUACUAGGGCAGGCUGAUGACUCCUUAUUCAUGAGAAUCACCAUAAGAGAGUCUCUCUUGCAUUCCCUAUUAGGGUUAAAAUUGUAUCAAUUAUGAAAGCUGUCAGCCUCUAUAAAUUAAGAAAUUCAUGUGCAGUGUGUGUGAGAGAGUAUUUCAUAUGUUUGACAGGGAAUACAUGACCUUGAAGGGUAAGGAUGUGUGAGGAGUGGUGCUGCAGCAAAAUUUUCUUUAUUUUACAUGGUAAUAAAAUUUUCUGUGCUUUCUGAUGCUCCUGAUUGCUUCUGUGACUCCCGAGGGGAGUGCAAGCCGGAUGA
This is a long non-coding RNA of Struthio camelus australis, 878 nucleotides long. RefSeq lists it as uncharacterized. NCBI's taxonomy places the organism in Eukaryota, Metazoa, Chordata, Aves, Struthioniformes, Struthionidae. The record is from RefSeq and is a predicted model, not a curated record.